AUGGACUGUUGUCCCCUCCAUGGACCCUCGCCUCCUCCGUGGGCCCUCAUCCCCUCUGCAGACUGUCAUCCCCUCCGUGGACCCUUGUCCCCUCCACGGUCUGUCGUCCCCUCCGUGGACCCUCAUCCCCUCCACGGACUGUCCCCUCCAGACUGUUGUCCCCUCUGGACCCUUGUCCCCUCCACGGACUGUCGUCCCCUCCGUGGACCCUCAUCCCCUCUGGACCCUCGUCCCCUCCACGGAUUGUCCCUUCCACAGACUGUUGUCCCCUCUGGACCCUUGUCCCCUCCGUGGACUGUCGUCCCCUCCAUGGACCCUUGCCCAUCCAUUGACCCUCAUCCCCUCUGCAGACUGUUAUCCCCUCCAUGGAUCCUCGCCCCCUCUGUGGAUCCUCAUCCCCUCCACAGACCCUCGUCCCCUCUGCGGACCGUCAUCCCCUCUGGACCCUCGUCCCCUCUGGACCCUUGUCCCCUCCGUGGACUGUCGUCCCCUCCAUGGAUCCUCGCCCCCUCUGUGGACUGUCGUCCCCUCCAUAGAACCUCGUCCCCUCCAUGGACCCUUGUCCCCUCUGGACUCUCGUCCCCUCCACGGACUGUUCCCUCCAGACUGUUGUCCCCUCUGGACCCUUGUCCCCUCUGUGGACUGUCGUCUCCUCCAUGGACCCUCGCCCCUCCACGGACUGUCCCCUCCACAGACUGUCGUCCCCUCUGGACCCUUGUCUCCUCCGUGGACUGUCGUCCCCUCUACGGACCCUCGCCCCCUCCAUGGACCCUCAUCCCCUCUGCAGACUGUUAUCCCCUCCAUGGACCCUCGCCCCCUCCAUGGACCCUCAUCCCCUCCACAGACCCUCGUCCCCUCUGGACCCUUGUCCCCUCUGGACCCUCAUCCCCUCUGGACCCUUGUCCCCUCUGUGGACUGUCGUCCCCUCUGGACCCUUGUCCCCUCUGGACCCUCGUCCCCUCCAUGGACCCUCGCCCCCUCCAUGGACCCUCAUCCCCUCUGGACCCUUGUCCCCUCUGGACCCUCGUCCCCUCCACGGACUGUUCCCUCCAGACUGUUGUCCCCUCUGGACCCUUGUCCCCUCUGGACCCUUGUCCCCUCUGUGGACUGUCGUCUCCUCCAUGGACCCUCGCCUCCUCCGUGGGCCCUCGUCCCCUCCACGGACUGUCCCCUCCACAGACUGUCGUCCCCUCUGGACCCUUGUCUCCUCCGUGGACUGUCGUCCCCUCUGGACGGACCCUCGCCCCCUCCAUGGACCCUCAUCCCCUCUGCAGACUGUCGUCCCCUCCAUGGACCCUCGCCUCCUCCGUGGGCCCUCGUCCCCUCUGGACCCUCAUCCCCUCUGCGGACUGUCGUCCCCUCUUGAGGAUGCCUUUUUAUCCUGUUCACCUUUCUCACCACUUGCAGGUGCUCAGAAUUUAUGCUGCGUGA
This 1431-nucleotide long non-coding RNA is filed under the name Felis catus (domestic cat). Its description in RNAcentral is "lncRNA (ENSFCAG00000053333.1)". Lineage: Eukaryota; Metazoa; Chordata; Mammalia; Carnivora; Felidae. The record is from RNAcentral.